Molecule: ribosomal RNA, 565 nt
Filed under: Hansenula anomala
Lineage: Eukaryota; Fungi; Ascomycota; Saccharomycetes; Phaffomycetales; Wickerhamomycetaceae
Description: Wickerhamomyces anomalus partial 26S ribosomal RNA
Rfam family: Eukaryotic large subunit ribosomal RNA
Source: RNAcentral
CUCAGUACGGCGAGUGAAGCGGCAAAAGCUCAAAUUUGAAAUCUAGCACCUUCGGUGUUUGAGUUGUAAUUUGAAGAUGGUAACCUUGGGUUUGGCUCUUGUCUAUGUUCCUUGGAACAGGACGUCAUAGAGGGUGAGAAUCCCGUCUGAUGAGAUGCCCAUUCCUAUGUAAGGUGCUAUCGAAGAGUCGAGUUGUUUGGGAAUGCAGCUCUAAGUGGGUGGUAAAUUCCAUCUAAAGCUAAAUAUUGGCGAGAGACCGAUAGCGAACAAGUACAGUGAUGGAAAGAUGAAAAGAACUUUGAAAAGAGAGUGAAAAAGUACGUGAAAUUGUUGAAAGGGAAGGGCAUUAGAUCAGACUUGGUGUUUUACGAUUAUCUUCUCUUCUUGAGUUGUGCACUCGUAUUUCACUGGGCCAGCAUCGAUUCGGAUGGCAAGAUAAUGGCAGUUGAAUGUGGCUUCACUUCGGUGGAGUGUUAUAGCUUCUGCUGAUAUUGCCUGUCUGGAUCGAGGGCUGCGUCUUUUGACUAGGAUGCUGGCGUAAUGAUCUAAUGCCGCCCGUCUUGAA